CCUACGGGGGGCAGCAGUGAGGAAUAUUGGUCAAUGGGCUUACGCCUGAACCAGCCAAGUCGCGUGAGGGAAGACUGCCCUAUGGGUUGUAAACCUCUUUUGUCAGGGAGCAACGCCGGCUACGUGUAGCCGGACUGAGAGUACCUGAAGAAAAAGCAUCGGCUAACUCCGUGCCAGCAGCCGCGGUAAUACGGAGGAUGCGAGCGUUAUCCGGAUUUAUUGGGUUUAAAGGGUGCGCAGGCGGAGGCACAAGUCAGCGGUAAAAUCGCGGGGCUCAACCCCGCUCCGCCGUUGAAACUGUGUCC
This 305-nucleotide ribosomal RNA is filed under the name uncultured bacterium. RNAcentral describes it as "bacterial SSU rRNA". It matches the Rfam family "Bacterial small subunit ribosomal RNA", at positions 338 to 640 of the family's 1533-position model. The record is from RNAcentral.